GUCUUUUUGAUAAUAAUUUAAAGUCUAACCUGCCCAAUGAAAUAAUUUUUAAUGGCUGCGGUAUUUUGACCGUACAAAGGUAGCAUAAUCAUUAGUUUUUUAAUUGAAAGCUAGAAUGAAUGGUUGGACGAGAAAAUUUCUGUCUCAAUUUAAUUUAAUUAGAAUUUUAUUUUUAAGUUAAAAAGCUUAAAUAAAUUUUAAAGACGAGAAGACCCUAUAGAGUUUUAUAUUUAAUUUAAUUAUUUAUUUUUGUAUUUAAAAAAUUAAAUUUAGUAUUUUAUUGGGGUGAUAAUUAAAUUUAAUAAACUUUAAUUUUUAAAAACAUUAAUUUAUGUUUAAUUGAUCCAUUAUUUUUGAUUAAAAGAUUAAAUUACCUUAGGGAUAACAGCGUAAUUUUUUUUAAGAGUUCUAAUCGAAAAAAAAGAUUGCGACCUCGAUGUUGGAUUAAAAUUUAAAUUUGGUGUAGAAGCUAAAUUUUUAAGUCUGUUCGACUUUUGAAAUUUUACAUGAUCUGAGUUCAGACC
This 524-nucleotide ribosomal RNA is filed under the name Ochthebius granulatus. RNAcentral describes it as "partial 16S ribosomal RNA". The stretch from base 381 to 524 matches the Rfam family "Bacterial large subunit ribosomal RNA", at positions 2473 to 2617 of the family's 2925-position model. Lineage: Eukaryota; Metazoa; Arthropoda; Insecta; Coleoptera; Hydraenidae. The record is from RNAcentral.